Molecule: ribosomal RNA, 305 nt
Filed under: uncultured bacterium
Lineage: Bacteria
Description: bacterial SSU rRNA
Rfam family: Bacterial small subunit ribosomal RNA
Source: RNAcentral
GGUCCUGCGGGACGCAGCAGUGAGGAAUAUUGGUCAAUGGGCGAGAGCCUGAACCAGCCAAGUCGCGUGAAGGAUGACGACCCUAUGGGUUGUAAACCUCUUUUGUCGGGGAGCAAGACCCGCCACGAGUGGCGGAGCGAGAGUACCCGAAGAAAAAGCAUCGGCUAACUCCGUGCCAGCAGCCGCGGUAAUACGGAGGAUGCGAGCGUUAUCCGGAUUUAUUGGGUUUAAAGGGUGCGCAGGCGGACCAUCAAGUCAGCGGUAAAAUCGUGGGGCCCAACCCCAUCCCGCCGUUGAAACUGGCG